Molecule: ribosomal RNA, 373 nt
Filed under: uncultured organism
Description: partial 16S ribosomal RNA
Rfam family: Bacterial small subunit ribosomal RNA
Source: RNAcentral
GUACUGUGCGAACGUUAUUCGGAAUCACUGGGCUUAAAGGGUGCGUAGGCGGGCUGGAUAAGUAGGGGUGUGAAAUCCCUCGGGCUCAACCGAGGAACUGCGCUCUAAACUGUCCGGCUUGAGUGAGAUAGGGGUGUGCGGAACUUCCAGUGGAGCGGUGAAAUGUGUUGAUAUUGGAAGGAACGCCGGUGGCGAAAGCGGCACACUGGGUCUCAACUGACGCUGAGGCACGAAAGCCAGGGUAGCGAACGGGAUUAGAUACCCCGGUAGUCCUGGCCGUAAACGUUGAGCACUAGUUGGGAGGGGCUUCGGCCUCUUCGAACGUAGCGAAAGCAUUAAGUGCUCCGCCUGGGGAGUAUGGUCGCAAAGGCUG